CCCCCCCCCCCCCCCCCGCCCACAUAUACCCUGCUCCAUGUGUAUCAUUGUCAGACACACACGAGCUGGUGGGGUCUGUGUGUCCUGAGUUUUGGGGGCUGCCCGGGACCCUGGUCUGAUUUCCCUGCAGGUUUCAGAUCUCAACCAUACCGGUGUCAGGCCGGAGUCACUGCUGGCUCUGGCAGGGGGGGAAUGCGGAUGGGCCAAUGGGAUCAGCCUCUGCCUGCCUGUCCCUGGGAGCUGUCAGGGGAGUCCAGGGCAGCUCAUUCUUCAGGCUGAGGGAUCACGUCCACAUUUCGCUCCAGAUGGGCCCGUCUUCCAGGAGACAGGGAAGGGAAAUGGCUGUGAUGGAGCCAGCUCAGGGGCUGGUGACCUUCGAGGAGGUGGCUGUGUAUUUCACCCAGGGGCAGGGGGC
Non-coding RNA from Chrysemys picta bellii (western painted turtle), 415 nucleotides. Lineage: Eukaryota; Metazoa; Chordata; Testudines; Emydidae. The record is from RefSeq and is a predicted model, not a curated record.